This is a small nuclear RNA of Pteropus vampyrus (large flying fox), 107 nucleotides long. The record is from Ensembl. NCBI's taxonomy places the organism in Eukaryota, Metazoa, Chordata, Mammalia, Chiroptera, Pteropodidae.
GUGCUCGCUUUGGCAGGACAGAUACUAAAAUUGGAACAAUACAGAGAAGGUUAGCAUGGCCCCUGCUCAAGGAUGCCACAUAAAUGCUACAGAUGAAUAUAGAAAAG